AAAAGAACAUUAGUUUCUCGACUCAACCUAAUUAACUUCCUACAUAGAUUCAACAGAAACCAAACGUUCUUUCACAUUCUUAUCCCGAUUCUCUGAAUAUUUCCAAUUUCAGGAACUCAAUGGAUCAAACACAGUUGUCUAUCAUCUAAUUGUUUCCACAUCCACUCCUAAUCACCAUCUGAGUUCUUAGGCAUCCAACAGUAAAAUUGAGCAACAAGCUUCAAUCUUGUGCAUAAUUGAUUGGUUACAAUAUUUGCAGAAUCUAAAAAUUGAUGAGAAAUUACCUUGGUUCGUAGAGAAUAGAGAAAGUUUGAGGUCAGUCCGUCUCCUUGGUUCGUAGAGCAUUGGUUCACUGUUUAUUUUAAAUUAUUUUGCAACUCUGUCAUUCACUGUCUCUCUUUCUUCCUUUUGCCUACCUCUGCCUUUUCGUUUCUCUCUUCCUCUCUCUCUCCUUGGAGCGAAACAGCGGCAGCAGCCUCUGUUUUGUUCCGUUUCUUCUCUUCCACCGACCACCACCGCUUCUGAAGAAUAAAUAUGAUCCCCUCAGAGAAGAUAUAUCCGCUGGAUACGACAAUGUCAAGGAUCUUCGCCAUCUUGAGGAUUGGAAAAUCUCUGGAGUUGACUAUGGCAAGUUUUAAGCUUUGGAAUGAGUUAGAUAAGUGUUUCCCUCGGGUGCAUUUGUCUGUUGUUGAUGAAAUGAAAUCGUCCAGUAAAGGCAUAUGUUAAUCGUGGAGAAUGAGGCUUGUCGCCAUUUGUUUUCAGCUUUGAAAGUACUAGUAGCGAGAGGGAAGCUGCUAAUAACCCUGGGGGAUCAGUUGACUCCGCUGGUUUCCAACGUUUGAUAGAAGACCUUGCUGAUGCAACUGCUGAACCAAACUUCCAGGCCUCAGAAACAAAGUCCUUAGAGAAUAUGUUGCUGUUUCAAUACCUAGUUAACUCUCUUGAAGUAGGUUUUCAACCUCGCAACUGUAUCUAUGCAGAAACUGCAAACUAGGUCCUUCUGAGAGAGUCUUUGCUCAACAUGCAUGCUUUUGGUAUCAAGAAAGAUAAACUACAAAAACUUGAUGAAGGAUUGCUUGGCCAUUAUGUGUAAGCUGUAUCAAACCAAUGCUGGAUUCACUGAUGAUCUGAUAAGUUCAGAGAAGUCUAUGGCACAACCAGCUGAAAAUUUUGAUACCGCUGCUACAAUUGCUUUUCUUGAGAUAGGAAAGAAUACCUGUAUAGCCAUGCAGAAGUUUCUGAUAAUGAUUAUGGAGCUUGACUUGUCGAAGAAGACAGCAGAAAUGCAAGGGUCUACUACAAGAGCAGAUGGUGUCAGAACUCCUCUGCUGGAGAUAGUUCUGGACGAGCUAACUUACGAUAAGGAUAUUCUUGACUCAUUUCUUCAAGUUCAAAUCUCUUUCCAUUUUCCAUUCAUGGUUCGUUCUGUUUCUGUAUUUGUAUAUAGUCUGAAGCAUAUGUUACAGUCAGUGUGUUUGACUACAAACGGAACAUGUUUGAUAUCUCCCUUAAACUUUAAUGGUGAGAAUUACAGAUUUUAUCACCUUAAAUUUUGACUAUUUAUGAUAAGUUGGACACGAUAUCUCCGGUUCUGAGGGAGGUGGCGAGCUCGUCAGCGACAGUCAAACAAGAGGAGACCCGGCCGUUGAGAGUCAACCAGACCAUCUCGGCCAUCCAGAGAGUCAUGUUCCAUGGCAUUGCCAUCUCUCUCUCUCUCUCUCUCUGCUCUUUGGUCUCGAGAUUUCCUUUCCUCUCUAAAGUCCAAUUUGCGUGAGUUCUUGUUGGGUUACGCAUCCUAAUUUAUUGAAUAGAAACAAAUAAAAUACCAACCAAGUUUGGAUUUUUUUGGCUCUUGAAGCAAGGAAGCUCGUGGCCUAGUGGAUAAGGUGUCUUGCUUCUAAUCACGCGAUUGUGGGUUCGAAUCCCCUCCCGGCGUGCUUUAUUAUUCCUGUUUGGUUUUUAAUAUCAUGAGUCAGAAAUUUGGAUUUGCUUCAAGAAGCUUUCAACACCAAUAAAAUGGCCUAAAUUAGCAAUUCUGGGAGAUGCUGCCUUUCAGUCAACAAUGGCUUCAGAAUCUGCUUCCUCCUGUUACAAUGCACCAGAAACCAAGUACAGUAAGAAAGCAACUGAACAGAUGGAUGUGUACAGCUUUGGUGUGGUACUAUUGGAGCUAGUGAGGGGUCGGCAAGCGGAGCAAGCAUUACAAUCUGAGUCUCUCGAUAUAGUGAAGUGGGUACGACGAAAGGUCAACAUUACAAAUGGAGCGGUCCAAGUUCUUCAUCCCAAGAUAACAAGUUCAGCCCAGCAAGAGAUGCUAAUAGCUCUAGAAAUUACUCUGCAUUGCACUUCUGUGAUGCCGGAAAAGAGACCAUCAAUGUCUGAAGUUGUGAAAUCACUUCAGUCCCUCGACUCGAUGACUCACACUGCUGUUGUAGACUUUUCUGCCUUUGAGGAGCAUUCGGUUGUCUGAGCAAUGAGUUACAAGUAACUGGGAUUUUAUUUGCAUUCCAUAUAAAUUGAACUUCAUUCUAUGUAGCGACUCUUGAUGAGUAAAAGAAGACGGUUGGGAAUGGUUUUUUCGUCUGUUGUUUCAGAGAAUCAAGAGAUUUGGUUAACUACAAUGUAAUGCCAUUAUGUAUUCAAGCUU
This is an RNA transcript of Rosa chinensis, 2647 nucleotides long. It is a transcript of the gene named probably inactive leucine-rich repeat receptor-like protein kinase At5g06940, with no coding region annotated. The transcript is spliced from 11 exons. The record is from RefSeq and is a predicted model, not a curated record. Lineage: Eukaryota; Viridiplantae; Streptophyta; Magnoliopsida; Rosales; Rosaceae.